This 466-nucleotide ribosomal RNA is filed under the name uncultured bacterium. Its description in RNAcentral is "partial 16S ribosomal RNA". It matches the Rfam family "Bacterial small subunit ribosomal RNA", at positions 28 to 507 of the family's 1533-position model. The record is from RNAcentral.
GAUGAACGCUGGCGGCGUGCUUAACACAUGCAAGUCGAACGGUGAAAGAGAGCUUGCUCUCUGGAUCAGUGGCGAACGGGUGAGUAACACGUGAGCAAUCUGCCCCUGACUCUGGGAUAAGCGCUGGAAACGGCGUCUAAUACCGGAUACGAGCUGCGAAGGCAUCUUCAGCAGCUAGAAAGAACUUCGGUCAGGGAUGAGCUCGCGGCCUAUCAGCUAGUUGGUGAGGUAACGGCUCACCAAGGCGUCGACGGGUAGCCGGCCUGAGAGGGUGACCGGCCACACUGGGACUGAGACACGGCCCAGACUCCUACGGGAGGCAGCAGUGGGGAAUAUUGCACAAUGGGCGAAAGCCUGAUGCAGCAACGCCGCGUGAGGGACGACGGCCUUCGGGUUGUAAACCUCUUUUAGCAGGGAAGAAGCGAAAGUGACGGUACCUGCAGAAAAAGCACCGGCUAACUACGUG